GCUUAACACAUGCAAGUCGAGCGAGAAUCGUUUUGCUGAAGGCUUCGGUCUGACGCAGAAUGAGGAAAGCGGCGAACGGGUGAGUAACGCGUGGGCAACCUGGCCUUAAGAAAAGGAUAGCCCCCGGAAACGGGGAGUAAUACUUUAUGAGAAUAGAAAAGGGCAUCCUAUUUCUAUUCAAAGCGCAAGCGCUUAAGGAUGGGCCCGCGUAUCAUUAGGUAGUUGGUGAGAUAACAGCCCACCAAGGCAACGAUGAUUAGCCGGUCUGAGAGGGCGAACGGCCACAUUGGAACUGAGAGACGGUCCAAACGCCUACGGGAGGCAGCAGUGGGGAAUAUUGCGCAAUGGAGAAGAACUCUGACGCAGCAAUACCGCGUGAGCGAAGAAGGUCUUCGGAUCGUAAAGCUCUGUUAUCAGGGAAGAAGAAAAUGACGGUACCUGAUGAGCAAGUCCCGGCUAACUACGUGCCAGCCGCCGCCGUAA
RNAcentral lists this ribosomal RNA (483 nucleotides) under uncultured bacterium. RNAcentral's name for it is "partial 16S ribosomal RNA". It matches the Rfam family "Bacterial small subunit ribosomal RNA", at positions 46 to 523 of the family's 1533-position model. The record is from RNAcentral.